This 253-nucleotide ribosomal RNA is filed under the name uncultured bacterium. Its description in RNAcentral is "partial 16S ribosomal RNA". It matches the Rfam family "Bacterial small subunit ribosomal RNA", at positions 524 to 776 of the family's 1533-position model. The record is from RNAcentral.
UACGAAGGGGGCGAGCGUUGUUCGGAUUUACUGGGCGUAAAGGGCGCGCAGGCGGUUCUGUUUGUCAGGCGUGAAAGCCCCGGGCUCAACCCGGGAAUGGCGCCUGGGACGGCGGGACUAGAGAUCGGGAGAGGAGCGUGGAAUUCCCAGUGUAGAGGUGAAAUUCGUAGAUAUUGGGAAGAACACCGGUGGCGAAGGCGGCGCUCUGGACCGAGACUGACGCUGAGGCGCGAAAGCGUGGGGAGCAAACAGG